AUUGAACGCUGGCGGCAUGCCUAACACAUGCAAGUCGAACGGUAACACGUCUAGGGUUGCCGACGAGCGGUGACGGGGGGCGUAAUAGUUAGGAAUGUGUCAGAUACUGGGGGAUCAUGGGGCGAAACGUUUGCCAAUAUCGCAUACGAGCUAAUGUUGAAAGCGGGGGAUCUCAGGAGUUCGAGCGGGCUUUGCGGUCGCUGGCAGAUUAGGUAGUUGGUGGGAUAAAAGCUUACCAAGUCGACGCUCUGUAGCUGGUCUGAGAGGAUGAUCAGCCACACUGGAACUGAGACACGGCCCAGACUCCUACGGGAGGCAGCAGUGGGGAAUUUUGGACAAUGGGCGAAAGCCUGAUCCAGCCAUGCCGCGUGCAGGAUGAAGGCCUUCGGGUUGUAAACUCCUUUUGUUCGGAACGAAAAGCCGCGUACUAAUAAAGAGAUGUCAUGACGGUACCGAAAGAAUAAGCACCGGCUAACUACGUG
RNAcentral lists this ribosomal RNA (482 nucleotides) under uncultured bacterium. RNAcentral's name for it is "partial 16S ribosomal RNA". It matches the Rfam family "Bacterial small subunit ribosomal RNA", at positions 30 to 507 of the family's 1533-position model. The record is from RNAcentral.